UGUUGCCAAGGCAGCCAAAAUACAGACCUGGGUUCAAAGUAGUUGCUGGGUGUGUAAGAGAGUAGUCACUUCCACUUUCAUGAAUACAGCUGCUCUGAAUGUGACAAAUACCAUUAUCAUCAUGGGUCUUAUUACCUCCAGCCACAAGGUGCUAUCUGAACAAAUGCUGGAUUUUCACUGCCAGACUCUUGAAUAUGUCACAUUUUUCUUUGGAUCUUUGGGUUAUUGUAACAGCUGUUUGUAAACAUUGUAAAGCCUACAUUAGGUACAGAAUGGGUAAGAAUAUUUUGACCCAAAUGUCUGCCCUCUGAACUAUUGUAAGGAAUGCAGCAUGUCUGCUGACACUUAAAGCAGUAGAUUUAAAUAGCAACCGGGAUCAACUUCCAGCUGAAUAAGUCAACAGGCAUUUUCAGUUUCGGACUCCAUCUGGGUCAGUUUUCUUUCAUCAGCUGGCCUGAGAACAUUCGAGGGUAUUCAGACCAUACUGAAAAAAAGAAAAGGAGGGGAAUAGCAAGAUAAUCGGAUAUAUCGCAGCCAUGAUCCUCAAAAAUUAAAAAAAGUUUUCCAACCAUCUUGCUUAAAUACAGGAAACUGUGAUUUGUCUUCCAGAAUUUUUUCAUCACUGAGCCUCAGCUCCUCUCUGAUAUAAACUCCUUAUGUGAUCUCCAUCAAAUGCACAGCUUCAGGACAUCUAAGAUAAGAAUUAUAAACACAGAUUCUGAUACUUUGGAAAGCCUAAGGAAAACUGACCUAAACGAAAAAGGGAGGAUAUUACGUAGAUCCUGCUCUUGAAGGAGCCGCCCACAGCUUAGAAGACAGAUGAGAAGAUCAUCAUCACAGAUUUGCUGUGAACAGCUCUGCUCAGCUCUGUCCCUGCCAGACUUGGGGCCACACAUACCCUUCUAAGAGGGCUAAAGAAGAUUCACAAAGAGCACUGCUUCUUGCUCCAGCUUUGGCAAGAGCAGAGGAUGAUUUUGUCUUUCGUAAUCCCAUGAGUAAGUAAUAUAAUUACCCAAAUUUCAUGGAAGAAGAAACCGAGGCCAAAAUUUGCCCAUGGUUACAAAAAAAUGAAUUAUCAUUCAUCUUUUUCAAGAGGAGAAUAUUAUAAAUUUACUAUGCUACUCAUAAAUGCCUUUCUGCCAGAUUAAUAGAAAACCUUUAGAAGCUGGACUUGUAACUUAUUCUGGGAUAUGGUCUUCCACAAACAAUUGGAGUCAUCAGUGUUCAGUGGAACAUCCUUUCAGUUGCAUGAAGAUGCCAAACUAGAGGAAAGAGGACACACCAUGUGAUUUCCCAAGGGCCAUCAUUUCCCAAGGGAUGGUUGUGACUGAGGGGACACAAAAACAAACAGUCUAAAACCAACAGAUAUUCCUAUCUAAAGUAUCUUUUUAUAGCACAGCAUAGCUGUAUUCAAUAUAAAACAAGGAGAGUGAUAACUGAAUGUGAAUUACAAAGCAGAAUUUUAAUCAUGAUACAUGAGUUAAUAAUACACAUGAGUUAAACUCAUGAUACAUGAAUUAAAGAAAAUAACUGGAACCCCUUUUCAUAUUUUAUUGUCAAAAGUUUUACCAAAUAGGUGGUUUAUUUGGAAAAGUAGCACCUCUUUGAAAUUAACUCUUGAUUUGUAAAAGUUCAGAUUGUUCCUAUCUACUUGGUCAACUAAAAGUGAUUAUUUUUAUUGCUAUAAGCCAUGCAUGUUGGUCUUUGAGAAAUAUGCCAUUAAUCAUGGUUAAAUUGUAUAGGCUCAAAAAUCUCUAAGACCUGCAAGAAAAAAAAAACAAAAUCCAAAAAUGUUGUAAAAUUAAUUAUUAGUCUAUAAAAAGUUGUGUGGACUUUCUACAAAACCAGCAAUUGGAAAAUGACAAAAUUGUUAUUUUAUCCCUAGAGAAUCUUUACACAUUUACCUCAAAGGGAGGAAUAGAGUCAAUUACUUCUAUUUCAAAUAGAUACUCCCUUUGACAAGUAUGCAAAUCAUACUGGAACUAUACAUCUGAGCUUUUUAAUUGUGACAACUCUGAGAUACUACUUGGUAAAGAAGAUUGUGCUAUUACCUCUCCAGUCUGUUCUCAAAGGGAAUAACACUCAUGUUUCCGAGGCAGAGAGAGCACCAAGAGGUGAGGUUCUGUCCACUCCUGCUGUGGACUGAAUUGUGUUCCUCCCUCCACCCACCAAUUUAUAUGUUGAAGCCCUAAUCACCAAUGUGAGUAUAUCUGGAGAUGGAGCCUUUAAGAAGGUGAUUAAAAUUAAAAGAGGUCAUAAGGGUCGAGCCCUAAUCCAGUAGAACUCUUGCUCUUUUAAGAAGAGGAAGAGACAUCAGAGCUGUUUCUCUGCUAUUUAAGGACAUUUUGAGAAGGCAGUCAUCUGCAAACCAGGAAAACAGCCGUCACCAGAGUCCAACCAUGCUGGCAACCUGAUCUUGGACAUCCAGCCUCCAGAACUGUGAGAAAUACAUUUCUGCUGUCACCCAGUCUACAGUAUUUUGAUAUGGCAGCCCAAGCUAACAUAACCCCUUAAGUAACCUAGCCAAAAAUUAUUAUUUUUUCAGCAAAUAAGGAGAAAGAAAAAAUGUUUUAUAAGAUUUUAAUUUUUGUAGGGUUGCCUGGGUGGCUCAGGCAGUUGAGCAUCCAAAUCUUGAUCUCAGCUCAGGUCUUCAUCUCAGGGCCCUGAGUUCAAGCUCUGAGUUGAGCUGCAUGCUGGACAUGGAAUCUACUGUUUUAAAAAAACGAUUGCAAUUUUUAUAAGAAAAAAUGUGAAUAAAACCAUCUUUGAAAAUUGAGUUCUCUUUAUUUUUUGUAAUACACAGCCUAAGAAAAUUUGGUGUUCUUGCUAUUCAAACAUAGCUUCAAAAGAAAUAGCAUUGCUUCUGCCAAUCUUACAUAACUUGAUACCAAAAUAACAAUCCAAUUAAAAAAUGGGCAGAGGACAUGAAUAGACAUUUUUUCAAAGUAGACAUACAGAUGUCCAAUAAACAUAUUAAAAUAUGUUAAACAUCAUUCAUCAUUAGGGAAAUGCAAAUCCAAAACACAGUGAGAUUUCCCCUUAUUAUCUAUCAGAAUGGCUAAAAUCAAAAAGAUAAGAAAUAACAAGUGUUGGUAAGGAUGUGGAGAAUAAGGAACCUUUGUGCUCUGUUGGUGGGAAUGUAAACUGGUACAGCCACUGUG
Long non-coding RNA from Acinonyx jubatus (cheetah), 3161 nucleotides. RefSeq lists it as uncharacterized. Lineage: Eukaryota; Metazoa; Chordata; Mammalia; Carnivora; Felidae. The record is from RefSeq and is a predicted model, not a curated record. The transcript has 9 exons.